Molecule: small RNA, 708 nt
Filed under: Vigna angularis var. angularis
Lineage: Eukaryota; Viridiplantae; Streptophyta; Magnoliopsida; Fabales; Fabaceae
Description: Non-protein coding transcript
Source: RNAcentral
UUUUAUUUCAACAUAAAACUAAAUAGAAGCCUUAUCACAAUCACUUUUACACCACCGUUGGUAGCACAUCUUAUCAAAGAAUGGUUGCUUCUGUAAUUAGCAAUUGCUUAAUGAAAAACAGUAGUUAUGUACGGUUUUUUGUGAACUGAGAGAAAUGGGUGAAAAAUCAACUGACACAAGAAGUUGCGAACUUCUUGGGGGGUGAAUUUUAGUGAUCCUCGGCACGAGAUUAUGACUCUUAAAGUUACUAUGAACAUAAUAGUGACACUAAUUUUCGUCUCCUAUUUUGAUAUUUUGUUUAAAUCUCGAACUCAGCGUUUUUCUUCUCAUCUUGUUUUCAGUUUCAUGUAAUCAAUCCUCCUCUUCUGUUCAACCUAGGUUAUUAACAUUGGUGAAGUUUCUUCUUUGGGAAGUUGCGGUGACUCUUUCUCCUUAGAAGGAGAUUUGAUAAGGAGGUUUGGGCUUCUCCUCCUCCUUUUAAUUGUUAGGAAGGCUCUUCUAGUAAUGGGGGCUAAUCUUUACUUAAUCGCUACUCAAGUUCAAGGGUGAUAAAAAAAAGGUAUAUUUCAAGUAGAAUCUAGUACCCUGAAGAGGAAACACAGAGAGAAGUUAUCUCAUAUUUGAGUUUCGAGUACCAGUGGGUAUGGGACGAGGUCAAUUCCUAUGCCUUCAGGUAUGUCUUGAUGCACCCUAAUAAUAGAACAUAAA